UCCGUUCUACCCCGCUCAUCACUUGGGCUA
Molecule: non-coding RNA, 30 nt
Filed under: Homo sapiens (human)
Lineage: Eukaryota; Metazoa; Chordata; Mammalia; Primates; Hominidae
Source: RNAcentral